RNAcentral lists this ribosomal RNA (1035 nucleotides) under Bacillus paramycoides. Its description in RNAcentral is "bacterial SSU rRNA". It matches the Rfam family "Bacterial small subunit ribosomal RNA", at positions 263 to 1258 of the family's 1533-position model. Lineage: Bacteria; Bacillati; Bacillota; Bacilli; Caryophanales; Bacillaceae. The record is from RNAcentral.
GCUCACCAAGGCAACGAUGCGUAGCCGACCUGAGAGGGUGAUCGGCCACACUGGGACUGAGACACGGCCCAGACUCCUACGGGAGGCAGCAGUAGGGAAUCUUCCGCAAUGGACGAAAGUCUGACGGAGCAACGCCGCGUGAGUGAUGAAGGCUUUCGGGUCGUAAAACUCUGUUGUUAGGGAAGAACAAGUGCUAGUUGAAUAAGCUGGCACCUUGACGGUACCUAACCAGAAAGCCACGGCUAACUACGUGCCAGCAGCCGCGGUAAUACGUAGGUGGCAAGCGUUAUCCGGAAUUAUUGGGCGUAAAGCGCGCGCAGGUGGUUUCUUAAGUCUGAUGUGAAAGCCCACGGCUUCAACCGUGGAGGGUCAUUGGAAACUGGGAGGACUUGAGUGCAGAAGAGGAAAGUGGAAUUCCAUGUGUUAGCCGUGAAAUGCGUAGAGAUAUGGAGGAACACCAGUGGCGAAGGCGACUUUCUGGUCUGUAACUGACACUGAGGCNGCGAAAGCGUGGGAACCAAACAGGAUUAGAUACCCUGGUAAUUCCACGCCGNUAAACGAUGAGNNUGCUAAGUGUUAGNAGGGUUUCCGCCCUUAAGUGCUGNAAGUUAANCGCAUUAACCACUCCGCCNUGGGGAGUACGGCNCGCAAGGNCUGAAACUCAAAGGAAUUGACCGGGGCCCGCACCAAGCGGUGGAGCCAUNGUGGUUUAAUUCGGAACCAACGCGAAGAACCNUUACCAGGUCUGGACAUCCUCUGACAACCCCAGAGAUUAGGGCUUCUCCUUCGGGAACAGGANGUGACAGNGUGGUGCCAUGGUUGUCGUUCAGCUCGGGUUCUGGGAGAGGUGGGGUUAAGUCCCGCAACGAAGCGCAACCCCUGAUCUUUAGUGCCAUCCAUUAAGUGGGCCACUCUAAGGGANCUGCCGGGGACCAACCGGGAGGAAGGGGGGGAGGACGUCAAAUUCAUCCAUCCCCUAUNGACCUUGGCUACCACCCUGCUACCAAGAGCGGUACCAAAAAGCUGCCAGACCGC